This 505-nucleotide ribosomal RNA is filed under the name uncultured bacterium. RNAcentral's name for it is "partial 16S ribosomal RNA". It matches the Rfam family "Bacterial small subunit ribosomal RNA", at positions 29 to 523 of the family's 1533-position model. The record is from RNAcentral.
AGUGAACGCUGGCGGUAGGCCUAACACAUGCAAGUCGAACGGCAGCACAGAGGAGCUUGCUCCUUGGGUGGCGAGUGGCGGACGGGUGAGGAAUACAUCGGAAUCUACUCUGUCGUGGGGGAUAACGUAGGGAAACUUACGCUAAUACCGCAUACGACCUACGGGUGAAAGCAGGGGAUCUUCGGACCUUGCGCGAUUGAAUGAGCCGAUGUCGGAUAGCUAGUUGGCGGGGUAAAGGCCCACCAAGGCGACGAUCCGUAGCUGGUCUGAGAGGAUGAUCAGCCACACUGGAACUGAGACACGGUCCAGACUCCUACGGGAGGCAGCAGUGGAGAAUAUUGGACAAUGGGCGCAAGCCUGAUCCAGCCAUACCGCGUGGGUGAAGAAGGCCUUCGGGUUGUAAAGCCCUUUUGUUGGGAAAGAAAUCCAUCUGGUUAAUACCCGGGUGGGAUGACGGUACCCAAAGAAUAAGCACCGGCUAACUUCGUGCCAGCCGCCGCUGUAA